RNAcentral lists this ribosomal RNA (311 nucleotides) under uncultured bacterium. RNAcentral's name for it is "bacterial SSU rRNA". It matches the Rfam family "Bacterial small subunit ribosomal RNA", at positions 196 to 507 of the family's 1533-position model. The record is from RNAcentral.
UGUUGUUAAAGGUUUACCGCCUUGGGAUAGGCUUGCGUCUGAUUAGCUAGUUGGUGUGGUAACGGCACACCAAAGGCUACGAUCAGUAACUGGUCUGAGAGGAUGAUCAGUCACACUGGAACUGAGACACGGUCCAGACUCCUACGGGAGGCAGCAGUGAGGAAUAUUGGGCAAUGCUCGAAAGAGUGACCCAGCAACGCCGCGUGGAGGAUGAAGGUAUUCUAUAUCGUAAACUCCUGUGAGAGCAGACGAAAGACAGAUUAUUAAUCUGGAUGGCUGUAUGCUCAGAGGAAGCCCCGGCUAACUACGUG